GGGUGAUUAGCUCAGCUGGGAGAGCACCUCCCUUACAAGGAGGGGGUCGGCGGUUCGAUCCCGUCAUCACCCACCG
RNAcentral lists this transfer RNA (76 nucleotides) under Klebsiella pneumoniae. RNAcentral's name for it is "tRNA-Val". It matches the Rfam family "tRNA". From Rfam's summary of the family: Transfer RNA (tRNA) molecules are approximately 80 nucleotides in length. Lineage: Bacteria; Pseudomonadati; Pseudomonadota; Gammaproteobacteria; Enterobacterales; Enterobacteriaceae. RNAcentral also lists the same sequence under 7 other names. The record is from RNAcentral.